Molecule: ribosomal RNA, 311 nt
Filed under: uncultured eukaryote
Lineage: Eukaryota
Description: partial 18S ribosomal RNA
Rfam family: Eukaryotic small subunit ribosomal RNA
Source: RNAcentral
CCCCUAGACGUUCUGGGCUGCACGCGCGCUACAAUAAUACGCACAGCGAGUAUCACCGAGCUCGAAAGGGCAAGGUAAACAAUAGAAAAGGUACUGUAAUGGUUAUAGAUCCUUGUAAUUAUUGAUCUUCAACGAGGAAUUCCUAGUAAGUAUGUGUCAUCAUCACGCACUGUUUACGUCCCUGCCCUUUGUACACACCGCCCGUCGCUCCUACCGAUUGGGUGAGCCGAUGAAACUCUCGGAUGUAGGCUAUUCAUAGCCCGCAGAAGAGAUUUGAAUCGUAGCGCUUAGAGGAAGGAGAAGUCGUAACA